UUUCCGUUGGUGAACCUGCGGAAGGAUCAUUACAGAGUUCAUGCCCUUCGGGGUAGACCUCCCACCCUGUUUAAUUACUAUUGUUGCUUUGGCAGGCUGCCCUCACCAUGGGGCGUCCGGGCUCCGCCCGCGUCUUGCCUGCCAGAAGACCCCUAAUUCUGUGUUCUGUGUCGUCUGAGUACUAUAUAAUAAGUUAAAACUUUCAACAACGGAUCUCUUGGUUCUG
This 226-nucleotide unclassified non-coding RNA is filed under the name plant metagenome. Its description in RNAcentral is "partial contains small subunit ribosomal RNA, internal transcribed spacer 1, and 5.8S ribosomal RNA". The record is from RNAcentral.